Molecule: ribosomal RNA, 301 nt
Filed under: uncultured bacterium
Lineage: Bacteria
Description: partial 16S ribosomal RNA
Rfam family: Bacterial small subunit ribosomal RNA
Source: RNAcentral
CAGUAGCCACGGGAAUACGUAGGUGGCAAGCGUUGUCCAGAAUUAUUGGGCGUAAAGGGCUCGCAGGCGGUUUCUUAAGUCUGAUGUGAAAGCCCCCGGCUCAACCGGGGAGGGUCAUUGGAAACUGGGAAACUUGAGUGCAGAAGAGGAGAGUGGAAUUCCACGUGUAGCGGUGAAAUGCGUAGAGAUGUGGAGGAACACCAGUGGCGAAGGCGACUCUCUGGUCUGUAACUGACGCUGAGGAGCGAAAGCGUGGGGAGCGAACAGGAUUAGAUACCCCUGUAGUCCCUGUCUCUUAUAC